This 76-nucleotide transfer RNA is filed under the name Flavobacteriales bacterium. RNAcentral's name for it is "tRNA-Thr". It matches the Rfam family "tRNA". Rfam says of the family: Transfer RNA (tRNA) molecules are approximately 80 nucleotides in length. Lineage: Bacteria; Pseudomonadati; Bacteroidota; Flavobacteriia; Flavobacteriales. The record is from RNAcentral.
GCCGCUAUAGCUCAACUGGUAGAGCAAUAGAUUUGUAAUCUAUAGGUUGUGGGUUCAAGUCCUACUGGCGGCACCA